GAUGAACGCUGGCGGCGUGCCUAAUACAUGCAAGUCGAGCGAACAGACGAGGAGCUUGCUCCUCUGACGUUAGCGGCGGACGGGUGAGUAACACGUGGAUAACCUACCUAUAAGACUGGGAUAACUUCGGGAAACCGGAGCUAAUACCGGAUAAUAUAUUGAACCGCAUGGUUCAAUAGUGAAAGACGGUUUUGCUGUCACUUAUAGAUGGAUCCGCGCCGCAUUAGCUAGUUGGUAAGGUAACGGCUUACCAAGGCAACGAUGCGUAGCCGACCUGAGAGGGUGAUCGGCCACCCUGGACCUGAGACACGGUCCAGACUCCUACGGGAGGCAGCAGUAGGGAAUCUUCCGCAAUGGGCGAAAGCCUGACGGAGCAACGCCGCGUGAGUGAUGAAGGUCUUCGGAUCGUAAAACUCUGUUAUUAGGGAAGAACAAAUGUGUAAGUAACUAUGCACGUCUGGACGGUACCUAAUCAGAAAGCCACGGCUAACUACGG
RNAcentral lists this ribosomal RNA (496 nucleotides) under uncultured bacterium. RNAcentral describes it as "partial 16S ribosomal RNA". It matches the Rfam family "Bacterial small subunit ribosomal RNA", at positions 28 to 506 of the family's 1533-position model. The record is from RNAcentral.